GCUCCCUCUCUCUAAUCCUUGCUAUCUGGGUGCUAGUGCUGUCUCAAUGCAAUGCACCUAGGCAAGGAUUCAGAGAGGGUGAGC
Loxodonta africana (African savanna elephant) is the source of this 84-nucleotide microRNA precursor. It matches the Rfam family "mir-500 microRNA precursor family". The record is from Rfam. NCBI's taxonomy places the organism in Eukaryota, Metazoa, Chordata, Mammalia, Proboscidea, Elephantidae.